RNAcentral lists this long non-coding RNA (268 nucleotides) under Lathyrus oleraceus (garden pea). Its description in RNAcentral is "Pisum sativum (pea) long non-coding RNA (PSAT_LNC031814)". Lineage: Eukaryota; Viridiplantae; Streptophyta; Magnoliopsida; Fabales; Fabaceae. The record is from RNAcentral.
GAUACUUUAUUUGAUUUCUUGCGAAUGUUUGAUCUGAUGUAUGUUUUAGCCAAAAUUUGACAAAGGGGGAGUUUGUUGGUUCUAUGUGUUGGCAUCAAUUUUGGUAAAACUAAGAGGUAUCACAAGUUGUCACGCGUGUUGUCUUGACAUGUGAUAUCAGCUUCCUGCAGAGUGUUUAAAUAUGGUUGUGCAGGAUUUAGUCAAGAUGUCAGACCCGAUGUUAAGACAUGUGCAUACAGAAUAUUCAGUCUGAAUGUUAUGUGUUUUG